GACGAACGCUGGCGGCGUGCUUAACACAUGCAAGUCGAACGGAAAGGCCCUGCUUUGUGGUGGAGCGCGGGGUGCGAACGGGUGACUUGCACAUAGGUACCCAGCCAUUGACUUAGAGAUAACUUAAGGACACUAAGUCUAAUACCACCAAGGAUCUCCUGCUGCUCGGUGGGGGUGGGUAUGAUUAGGCGGUUGGGGAUGUACCCGCGGCUUAUCGGCUUGUUGGUGGGGUAGUGGCUUACGAAGGCUUUGACGGGUGGCCGGCCUGAGAGGGUGACCGGCCACACUGGGACUGAGAUACGGCCCAGACUCCUACGGGAGGCAGAAGUGGGGAAUAUUGAACAAUGGGCGGAAGCCUGAUGCAGCAACGCCGCGUGAGGGAUGACGGCCUUCGGGUUGUAAACCGCUUUCGGCUGUGACGAAGCGUAAGUGACGGUAAUGGGUAAAGAAGCACCGGCUAACUACGUG
RNAcentral lists this ribosomal RNA (468 nucleotides) under uncultured bacterium. RNAcentral's name for it is "partial 16S ribosomal RNA". It matches the Rfam family "Bacterial small subunit ribosomal RNA", at positions 28 to 507 of the family's 1533-position model. The record is from RNAcentral.